UGGCGCUGGUGACCGGCGCGGCUCAGGGCAUAGGCAGAGCCUUUGCAGAGGCGCUGCUGCUUAAGGGCGCCAAGGUAGCGCUGGUGGAUUGGAAUCUUGAAGCAGGUGUACAGUGUAAAGCUGCCCUGGAUGAGCAGUUUGAACCUCAGAAGACUCUGUUCAUCCAGUGCGAUGUGGCUGACCAGCAACAACUGAGAGACACUUUUAGAAAAGUUGUAGACCACUUUGGAAGACUGGACAUUUUGGUCAAUAAUGCUGGAGUGAAUAAUGAGAAAAACUGGGAAAAAACUCUGCAAAUUAAUUUGGUUUCUGUUAUCAGUGGAACCUAUCUUGGUUUGGAUUACAUGAGUAAGCAAAAUGGAGGUGAAGGCGGCAUCAUUAUCAAUAUGUCAUCUUUAGCAGGACUCAUGCCCGUUGCACAGCAGCCGGUUUAUUGUGCUUCAAAGCAUGGCAUAGUUGGAUUCACACGCUCAGCAGCGGCUUUGUUAACACAGCCAUCCUUGAAUCAAUUGAAAAAGAAGAAAACAUGGGACAAUAUAUAGAAUAUAAGGAUCAUAUCAAGGAUAUGAUUAAAUACUAUGGAAUUUUGGACCCACCAUUGAUUGCCAAUGGAUUGAUAACACUCAUUGAAGAUGAUGCUUUAAAUGGUGCUAUUAUGAAGAUCACAACUUCUAAGGGAAUUCAUUUUCAAGACUAUGAUACAACUCCAUUUCAAGCAAAAACCCAAUGAACAGCUUAUGUGUUAGCCAUAGCUGAAAAUAAGCACAAAUAGCUUAUAUUCAGAUCCUAUCUUCAUUUGAAUAUAGCUUUUAAAUG
This 816-nucleotide long non-coding RNA is filed under the name Homo sapiens (human). Its description in RNAcentral is "HSALNT0081134". The record is from RNAcentral. Lineage: Eukaryota; Metazoa; Chordata; Mammalia; Primates; Hominidae.